CAGCAGCCGCGGGAAUACGUAGGUCCCGAGCGUUGUCCGGAUUUAUUGGGCGUAAAGCGAGCGCAGGCGGUUAGAUAAGUCUGAAGUUAAAGGCUGUGGCUUAACCAUAGUACGCUUUGGAAACUGUUUAACUUGAGUGCAGAAGGGGAGAGUGGAAUUCCAUGUGUAGCGGUGAAAUGCGUAGAUAUAUGGAGGAACACCGGUGGCGAAAGCGGCUCUCUGGCUUGUAACUGACGCUGAGGCUCGAAAGCGUGGGGAGCAAACAGGAUUAGAUACCCCUGUAGUCCCUGUCUCUUAUACA
Molecule: ribosomal RNA, 301 nt
Filed under: uncultured bacterium
Lineage: Bacteria
Description: partial 16S ribosomal RNA
Rfam family: Bacterial small subunit ribosomal RNA
Source: RNAcentral